Molecule: ribosomal RNA, 497 nt
Filed under: uncultured bacterium
Lineage: Bacteria
Description: partial 16S ribosomal RNA
Rfam family: Bacterial small subunit ribosomal RNA
Source: RNAcentral
GACGAACGCUGGCGGCGUGCCUAAUACAUGCAAGUUGAGCGCUGAAGGUUGGUACUUGUACCAACUGGAUGAGCAGCGAACGGGUGAGUAACGCGUGGGGAAUCUGCCUUUGAGCGGGGGACAACAUUUGGAAACGAAUGCUAAUACCGCAUAAAAACUUUAAACACAAGUUUUAAGUUUGAAAGAUGCAAUUGCAUCACUCAAAGAUGAUCCCGCGUUGUAUUAGCUAGUUGGUGAGGUAAAGGCUCACCAAGGCGAUGAUACAUAGCCGACCUGAGAGGGUGAUCGGCCACAUUGGGACUGAGAUACGGCCCAAACUCCUACGGGAGGCAGCAGUAGGGAAUCUUCGGCAAUGGACGAAAGUCUGAACGAGCAACGCCGCGUGAGUGAAGAAGGGUGUCGGAUCGUAAAACUCUGUUGGUAGAGAAGAACGUUGGUGAGAGUGGAAAGCUCAUCAAGUGACGGUAACUACCCAGAAAGGGACGGCUAACUACGUG